This 433-nucleotide ribosomal RNA is filed under the name uncultured bacterium. Its description in RNAcentral is "bacterial SSU rRNA". It matches the Rfam family "Bacterial small subunit ribosomal RNA", at positions 232 to 665 of the family's 1533-position model. The record is from RNAcentral.
CGCGGCCUAUCAGCUUGUUGGUGAGGCAACGGCUCACCAAGGCAACGACGGGUAGCUGGUCUGAGAGGAUGGCCAGCCACAUUGGGACUGAGAUACGGCCCAGACUCCUACGGGAGGCAGCAGUGGGGAAUCUUGCGCAAUGGCCUAACGGCUGACGCAGCGACGCCGCGUGUGGGAUGAAGCUCCUCGGAGUGUAAACCACUGUUGCCCGGGACGAAUAGCUCGAUUAAUCGAGCCUGACGGUACCGGGUGAGGAAGCACCGGCUAACUCCGUGCCAGCAGCCGCGGUAAUACGGGGGGUGCGAGCGUUGUCCGGAAUCACUGGGCGUAAAGGGCGCGUAGGUGGUUUGAUAAGGGUGUGGUGAAAGUCCGGGGCUCAACCCCGGAUCUGCCGUGCCGACUGUCAAACUCGAGGACUGUAGAGGCAGACGGA